CUUAAAUGGUGAGGAAGUCUGUCCGGUCGAGAGCGCCGGUGUGGAGAGCGCCGGAGAGCAGGUCGCCGACAAUCGUCGCUUGGAGACGGUGAGAAAAAGGGGGAAAAGUUUUAGAAGAAACCUAAAACUUAAAAUAACCCGGUAGUUGAAUAAACCGUGUUUAGUUGAAAGAAUUCAUUAAUUCAUUGUAAAUCAAUGUUUAGUAUUUAAAACUAGAUUUACAACAAAUUAUUUUAACUAACUACAACUAACUCAGUUUUCUUUAUAUUGCUAUUGGGCCGCCCAAUGUACUUCUGGACUCCAUCUUGCUAUUUUAGCCCAGUUGCUCUUUUAUUAGAAUUUGAAGUAUUUGCAAUUUAAUCCCUGAAGGACUCCAUAUCUAAUAUGCUCUCUCAGAGAUUUCCUGUAAAUACAACAAUUACAAAUAGAUCCAUAACAGUAGUGAUUAUAUCAAAUAGAUCCAUAAUAUUAUAUCUAAUAUUAGUUUUGCUAAUUACUUCUUUACUCCCCCCUCAAGCUCUGGAAUAUAUAUUGAGUAUUCCAAGCUUGGCAGAGGCUGAAGUAAUUUCUUUCUCACCCAAUGGUUUGGUAAACAUAUCAGCUAAUUGGUAUUUUGUUCCAAUUUGUCUAAGGCUAAUUGUCCCUUGGGUGAUUAGAUCUCUUAUAAAGUGGCAAUCAAUUUCUACAUGUUUUGUCCUUUCAUGAAAGACAGGAUUAUUAGCUAGAUGAAUUGCCGAUUUAUUAUCACAAUAUAGUGUUGUUUGUGUUUGGUUUUUGAUUUUCAUUUCUUUUAGUAAUUGAUGCAACCAGAUGAUUUCACAGGCUGUAUGAGCUAUUGCUCUAUAUUCUGCCUCGCAUGAAGAUCUGGAUAUGACAUUUUGUUUCUUGGAUUUCCAAGAUACUAUUGAAUCUCCAAACAUGAGGCAAAACCCGGUUACUGAUUUUCUGGUGAUUUGGCAUGAAGCCCAAUCAGAAUCACAAAAACCAUUUAUAUUCAUCUUUUCUUUAUUUUUAUAUAACAUCCCUUGACCUGGAGCACUUUUCAGGUAUCUUAAUACCCUGAAUAAUGCUUUUAAAUGAACCUCUCUUGGUUCACUCAUAAAUUGGCUUAGCCAGUGUACUGCAAAACUGAGAUCAGGCCUGGUGAUGUUUAAGUAUAUGAGUUUCCCAACUAUUUUUCUAUAGAAUGUGGGAUCUUUAAUGGCUUCAGAAGUAUCAUUUUUCAGAUCUAUGUUCCUUUCCAUGGGUAUCUUAGAUUCUUUGGCUCCUGAGAGACCAGUUUCUUCAAGUAUGCCUAAAGCAUACUUUCUUUGUGAUAAGAGAAUACCCUCACUAGAGUAUGACACUUCUAUGCCUAGAAAGUAAUUCAGCUUUCCAAGAUCUUUCAAUUUGAAUUUGUUUUCUAAUUGAAUUUUUAGAAUGCUUAUUUCUAACUCAUUACUACCUGUGAUGAUUAUGUCAUCUACAUAGACUACUAGGUAGAGUAUAUUUCCAUUUUUCUCUCUUAUAAAGAGAGAGUAAUCUGAUUUUGCUUGUAUGAAUCCAAAAUCUUCUAGUGUAGUUUUGAGUUUUUCAAACCAGUUCCUAGAAGCUUGUUUAAGCCCAUACAAGGAUUUGUUGAGUUUACAGACCCUCUUGUCUCCUUCUUGGAGCAUUCCCUGAGGUGGUCUUAAAUAGACUUCCUCAUGCAAGUCUCCAUGAAGGAAGGCAUUGUUUACAUCAAUUUGGUAGAGGUUCCACCUUUUUUGUGCAGCAAUUGCAAUUAGUAUUCUUACUGUUGUCAUUUUUGCAACUGGUGCAAAAGUUUCAUAAAAAUCGAAGCCUUCCUUUUGAGAGAAGCCCUUGGCCACUAGCCUGGCUUUGUACCUCUCUAUUUCUUCAUCUGGCUUGUAUUUUAUUUUAUAUAUCCAUUUUGAGCCAACUGACUUCCUUCCUUUUGGGAGUUCAGUUAAAACCCAAGUUUUAUUUGAGAUGAGUGCCUCCAUCUCUUUUUUCAUUGCUUCGACCCAUUUUGGAUCACUUGAAGCUUGAUUGUAUGUAUUUGGUUCAUUGUGACUCGUAAUUUGUUUUAGAAACUCUUUAUGUUUCUUAUUUACUCUAUGAUAGGAUACAUAGUUACUCAUAGGGUACUUAAUUUUAUUUGGAUAAUUUUCAUCAUUUUCCAAAUAGAAGUCUUUAUAUUGACUUGGUUUUGUUAUGACUCUCCCUAGCCUUGUUUGCUUUUGUUUUGUGGGAAAGUCUGAUUUUUCUAAUUUAUUUUGAGUAUCUUGAUCUUGAUUACAAGAUCUCAAUGUAUUUUUAUUUUGAGUAUCUUGAUCUUGAUCACAAGAUCUCAAUGUAUUUCCUGUUCUGUAUUUUUGUUUUAUAAGGCUAUUUACUGUUUUGACUUUUUCUUCUUCUAAUGCAUUUUGAUUUUCUAAUGCAUUCCCUGUUUCAAUUCGUGUAUCUUUUUCAGAAUUUUUAUUCAAGAACAUAUUUCCUGUUUUAACUUGGGUGUUUUCUCCAAGUUCUUUGUUUAGUUCAAGAAGUGAAUCACUUUGCUCAUCCUGAUCACAACCCUGUAUCUGGGUAUUUUCCUCAAAUGUUAGCUGUUUGGGAUUAAGUAAUGAUUUAUUUUCUGUUUUGUUAAUUUUUCUAUAAUCAGGCUGGAUUUUUCCAGUUAUAUCUGAUUCAUGUUGAGUUCUUAAAAUGGUUUCAUGGCCAGCCUGGUUAUUUCCAGUCAUAUCUGAUCCAUUUUCCAUUUUAUUCUGAUUUUUAACACUAUUUUGGUGUUUUUGAGUAUCUUUUGAAUUUUUGUAAAUUAUUCUAAAUUCAGAAUCAUUGUUCUGAGUAUUUUCAUAAAAAACACUUUGUGAUGGAAAAAUAUCUAUUAUUUCAUUUUGUUGUGUUUGCUUUAUUUCAUGAAAAGGAAAAAUAUUUUCCUUGAAGACCACAUCUCUACUAACAUGAAAUUUUUGGUCUUCUAGGCCAAGUAUUAAGUAUCCUUUUAUAUUGGGAGGAUAUCCCAUGAAUAUUCCUUUGAAUGUUCUUGGUGAGAACUUAUGUUCUCUAUUAUGUGAGAUUGCAUAACAUAGACAUCCAAACGUUUUUAAAAUAUUGUAUUGGGGUUUUUUGUUAUGUAAGACUUCAUAAGGAGUCUUGUUUUCUAGGACCUUGGAUGGGAUCCUAUUUAUUAUGAAUGUUGCAGCCAAUAUACAUUCCCCCCAGUAUUUUAGGGGUAUAUUGGCUUGAAUUUGUAAUGACCUAGCUAUAUUAAGCAAACAUCUAUGUUUUCUCUCAACUCUUGCAUUUUGUUGAGGAUUAUAUGGACAAGUGAGUUGGUGAAUUAUUCCAUUAUCUUCUAAUAGAGUUCUGAAUUUUUCAGAUUUAAAUUCUCCCCCAUUGUCGCUUCUUAUGGUUUUUAUGUUUAUGCAAAAAAAAUUCUUAACUUUUGUUAUGAACUUUUUAAUGCAUUCAUAUGCCAUGGAUUUAUUCUUAAUUAAGUAGACCCAUGUUGUUCUACUUAAAUCCUCGACUAUUGUGAGGAAAUAUUCAUACCCAUCAUGACUAGUUACUGAAAAUUUACCCCAAAUAUCUAUGUGUAUUAGAUCAAACAAACAAUUACUUUUGGAUAUGCUUUUUGUAUAUCUAAGUUUGGUUUGUUUUGAAAGGGGACAAAUUUCACAAUCUUUGUCUAAAAACAACUUAUUUGAUGUAUUUUUAUUACAGAAACUAUUAUCAAGAGUUUUUACAUCAUUUUUCAAAAAACAAUCUAUUUCCUUCCUUUUGACUAGCAUGCCAAGCUUUUGAGAGGAUAUAUGCCCAAGCCUAUUGUGCCAUGUUCUAGAAUUCAGGGAUGUGUUUGCAAAAUCAGAAGUGGGUUUUGAGCUGUAUAAGUAGAGCCCAUCUUGGCAUCUACCCUUCCCAAUCACUUUCCCUGAUUUGCUUCCCUGAAAAAGGCAUUUUUCACUAUCAAAUAAAAUUUCCAGAUCACUGUUUGAAGUUAAUUUAUUAACUGAAAUUAAAUUAACUUUGAAUUGGGGAAUGUAGAGCACAUCUCUUAAUUUUAUGUUUUUGGAUAGAGUUAUUGUUCCCAUGGAUUUUACACUACAUACUUCACCACUAGGUAUUGUGACAAAGUGUUCUUGUUUCUCAAUUGGAAGCUCAUCAAAAAAUUGGAGAUUCCCAGUCAUAUGUUGGGAAGCUCCGGUAUCUAUAAUCCAUUCUUCAUUUAAAUUUAUUGCAUUGUAAGCAUGAGAAUUAUUUCUGAAAUUUAAAACAUUAAAAAAAUAUUUCAUACCAUUGGACUUGUUUACCAAGUCUUUUAGCAUGAUCAGUUCUUCAUUUGUCAAUGUUGGAGGAGUGUCAAUUGUGGCCUGAUUUGCACUUUCAUACUUUGGCUUUUUAUUUUUGUUUUCCUUCUUUCCAUUGUCUUUUUUCUUUUCUGGAAAGCCUAUUAGAUGGUAACACUCCUUCCUAGUAUGACCAUAGAACUUGCAAUUGUCGCAAUAUUUUGAAGUGUCUAAUUUCUUUCCACUUCUACUAUAUAAUCUUUCUUCUUUUUCAUUCACUUUCUUAGUAAAAAAUGCAGAAGAUUCUGAUUUGGUGUUGUUAUCCCUAAAAUCUGUUUUCUGCUUUUCUUCUUGAGUAAUCAGAUAAAAACUCUAUUCAUAUUUGGCAACUCAUCAUAUGAUAAAAUUUGACCUCUUAAAGCUUUGAAACCUUCAUUCAGUCCCAAAAGGAACUGGUGAAUUUUGUCCUUCUCCAAUUUCUCAUUGAAUUUUGGAGUGCAUUUGUCACAAAAAUCACAAUCGUCUAAUUCUACUUUUUGAUCCCAUAAUUAAAGUCUUAAACUUAUCAUGAUAAUCACUCACACUAUUAUUUCCUUGAUGUAGAUUAUUUAACUCAUACCUUAUUUGAUUGUAUUUUGGAGCGUUUUUCUGCUUGUACCUCUCUUGCAAAUCUGACCAAGCUUGAUAGGCUGUUUCAGUGUGCAUAAGGGUGGAAGCAAUUUGCGGAGAUGACCCAUUUAUUAUCCAGGACAGCACCAAUCCAUUUACAGUCUCCCAUGCCUCAAAAUCUUUGUCAUCAUUCCUCUCUGGUUUCUUCACCUUUCCAUUGAUGAAAGCUAUUUUCCUCCUAGAUAGAAGAGAUAAUCUCAUGGCAUUAGCCCAAGUAUUAUAAUUGGACUCACCUGUUAAUUUGUCCGAAACCAUCAGGGCUCCGGGAUGAUCGCCUGAAUUCAGAAAGUAAAUUGAAUCUCUGUCAUUCAGUGCUGAGGUGUGAUGAAAUCUUCUUGUUCUUUUGGAGUGAUGAGUGUGAUGCUUUUUGUGGUGGGGAGAUUUUUUUAUGUGAUGCUUUGGAGAUGAUAACGGACUCUGGCGUGAUGGAGAGUGAAGGAGAUGCUUUGCCGCCGACGGAAUUGUUCCAGUAGAAUCGGCGGAGGUAGAGUCAGAUUCUGUUCUGUUCUCGCUGUGGGAGGCAGACUUGUUAAAUGCGGAAGCGUGGCUGGUCUUUCCAGUCGAUACCAUCUUAAAUGGUGAGGAAGUCUGUCCGGUCGAGAGCGCCGGUGUGGAGAGCGCCGGAGAGCAGGCCGGUCGCCGGCAAUCGUCGCUUGGAGACGUUGAGAAAAAGGGGGAAAAGUUUUAGAAGAAACCUAAAACUAAAAUAACCCGGUAGUUGAAUAAACCGUGUUUAGUUGAAAAGAAAUCAUUAAUUCAUUGUAAAUCAAUGUUUAGUAUUUAAAACUAGAUUUACAACAAAUUAUUUUAACUAACUACAACUAACUCAGUUUUCU
Molecule: long non-coding RNA, 5776 nt
Filed under: Zostera marina
Lineage: Eukaryota; Viridiplantae; Streptophyta; Magnoliopsida; Alismatales; Zosteraceae
Description: long non-coding RNA (ZMAR_LNC005925)
Source: RNAcentral